AAGAAUAAAACAAAGGUUUUAUUUGCUCUAAGAUUUUUUUAUCUCGUGUUGUAGUAGUUAAGGUAAGCUAGAACUAGCUUUAUUCUAUACACGUAAUCGAAACUGAGAGGUUGAUCGAUCACAAUGUGGCCUGAACAAAGCCCAUGACAAUUGUAGCAGCAGUGAGGAAUAUUGGUCAAUAGCCUAACGGCUGAACCAGCAACUUGGAGGAAUGAAGAGCAAUAGCUGACUGCAUUAAUUUAAAGUGUUAUUUAAUUUAUAAUGCAGUUACUACUAGGUAGUUUAAAUUUCUGGGUAGAGUUUUGAUGAUGACAUUCUCUAUAGAGGUCUUGACCAAAUUACGUGCCAGCAGUCGCGGUAAUACGUAGAAGACAAGUGUUAUUCAUCUUUAUUGGGUUUAAAGCGUACCAAGACGGUUAAUAAAGCCUAAAAUAAAUAAAAAAAUAGGGGACACAUUAACUAGAGUUAUAUGAAAAGAAGCACUAAGGUACUGUUGAGUGUAGAGAUGAAAUUCUUUUAUACCAGAUGAUUGGCACAGAUUUAGGCGAAGGCAUCUUCUUAUGUAAUAACUGACGUUGUAGGACGAAGGCUUUUGAAGUGAACAGGAUUCGAUACCCUAUUAAUCUAAGCAGAAAAUGAUGAAUGUCAUAGGUUGAAUAUUGUUCAGUCUAUAAAUGAAAGUGUAAGCAUUCCACCUCAAGAGUAAUUUGGCAACAUUGGAACUGAAAUCAUUAGACCGUUUCUGAAACCAGUAGUGAAGUAUGUUGUUUAAUUAGAUGAUCCACAAAAAACCUUACCACAAUUUGAAUAUAUUUACAAGCGCUGCACGGCUGUCUACAGUUAAUGUCGUGAGAUUUUGGUUAGUUCCAUAAAAUUAACGUGAGCCCUUACUUUAUUUGUAAAUAAAGUA
RNAcentral lists this ribosomal RNA (910 nucleotides) under Pseudocyphellaria scabrosa. RNAcentral's name for it is "SSU rRNA". It matches the Rfam family "Bacterial small subunit ribosomal RNA", at positions 193 to 1128 of the family's 1533-position model. Lineage: Eukaryota; Fungi; Ascomycota; Lecanoromycetes; Peltigerales; Lobariaceae. The record is from RNAcentral.